RNAcentral lists this small RNA (29 nucleotides) under Bombyx mori (domestic silkworm). RNAcentral's name for it is "ovarian small RNA-32786". The record is from RNAcentral. Lineage: Eukaryota; Metazoa; Arthropoda; Insecta; Lepidoptera; Bombycidae.
UGAUGACCCUCACCGCAAGCGCCCGCUGA